AAGACUAUACUUUCAGGGAUCAUCUGUAUAAUUCAGUGCUAGAGAAGUUCC
This 51-nucleotide small nuclear RNA is filed under the name Cervus elaphus hippelaphus. The record is from RNAcentral. Lineage: Eukaryota; Metazoa; Chordata; Mammalia; Artiodactyla; Cervidae.